Molecule: non-coding RNA, 7591 nt
Organism: Podarcis lilfordi (Lilford's wall lizard)
Lineage: Eukaryota; Metazoa; Chordata; Lepidosauria; Squamata; Lacertidae
Source: the annotation of a GenBank genome assembly
AGGCUCCAAAGUUUAGAGAAUCAGGACCCUUUUGGAUAAGACCAAGAUUCCACCCAGCCCAUCAUUCUUUUUCCAGUAGUGGCUGUUAUGUGCUUCCAAAACGUGCACAAGCAUGAAGGCAACCUCUUUCCCCAUGAUGUUUUCCCAACAUCUGGCAUUCAGAGGUAUGCUGCUUCAGUUAAUGUCAAUGUUCCAUUAAUUAAUAAUGGCUAAUAAAAGUAAAUGGAUACCUUUUAUGAUGUCAUAUUUUCAACCAUUUAAGCUAGGGGUUAUUAUAAUCUUCUAAAUGCAUCCAAGUUAGUGGCCAUCACCAUUUCUUAUGGCAGAAAUUGCAUACAUAGAGUGAAAAAGUUAUUUAUAGCAAAAGCCUUUGCCUGUGAUUGGAGUAUCUCACAAUAAAGCAGUUGUCCAACCAUUUCCCCUCUCUUUACUUCUUCAGCUUCCUUUGCCCACCCCAAGUUCCAAUUUCCCUGAGCGCGAGUCAUCUCAACUCAUCAUUUUGUAAACCGCACCCAGUGUAGUUCAUCCAUUUCAUCCUAGGCACCUUUCCUCUCUUUUUCUGUUACUUCUUGCACCGUUCUCAAGCACUUCUUUACAUAUGUAUAACCUUCACUCCUAGUUCCUUUCAACCCUUCCUUGCCAGAUCCAUCAUCCUGUUCUGCAAAUCCUUCUCCAUUCACUUUUGUUGUAAUACUUACCAAUGGCUUACCAAGGCUCACAGAUGGGCAUAACAUCUACCUUGUCUUUCCACCCGUUUUUCCUUUAGCUAAUCCUUCAUCCCUCACAGAAAAUCAAACUCCUAAACAUUUUUCAGCAAAGCUGAAUUUCUUAUAUUUUGGUAUCUCGUUAAUGAGCUUAGUUUAUUGUGCAGUUUAUUUCUUGUUUGCAAGACAUACUCUAUUCUACACAUCUUACCUCAGGAUUGCAAUUCCUAGCAUUCAAAGCACAAUAUUUUGUCCUCAGAAUAUGCACUUCUUACCCUAGGUAGCGCAUUCAUUAUUGUUGUGGAGGAAUGUGGUGGUGUGAGUGCCAGAUAGCUACUGAACAGCUUUGUGAGAUAAUUUAGUAAUAAGCAACACAGUUCUGUUCUCACUCCCUAAUGCAGGAAUGAAGAACAUGUUUUACUCCAGAUGUUGUUGGACUGCAACAACUCUGAUCCUCCCUGACUGUUGACCAUGCUGGAGCUAAUGAGAGUCCAUCAACACCUGAAGGACAGAGGUUCUCCAUCCCUGCCCAGCACAAGUUUGUGAGCUGCUGGUUUAGGGUUUUUGUGAUGGUGGCUUUUUAAAUUCUGUGGUGGCUGUCCGUUUCCUUUUCUUCUCCACUGGAAUGCACAUCUAGCCAGAUUUUUUUUUUUUUAAAUCAAGGUGGAAUUGGUAAUAUAGGUAUCUCCACAUCAAGCCUUUUUUCAGUCCAUCACUCCUUAAUGCAUGGCAAAUAGCACCAUACAUUACUGAAGAUACAUACAUAUAUGUGUAUGUGCAUCAAACAAAGGAUAAAGUGCAGGGGGUUACGAUACAUUUGUGCAUUAAACCCCAUAUUUCUUAGGCCAUAGUAAGCAAGACAAACGUGUUUGCUUUAUGUACCUCAAUGUUUUGUGCAGCAAGCUUGUGAAGUGUGGACUUAAAGAUACACUUUCAAAUAGAUCUUGUCAUCCCACACUUUGUUUCAUGCAAGAAACACAGGCGUGGAGCUUCCCAAGGGUCUGUAAUACAGAAAAGCUAACUCAUGUUGUAAAUUAUGCAUAUUAGUGCAUAAACAUAUGAUUUAGUAAGUAAUGACCCCUUUUUCCGUUGCUGUAUAUGUUUUCCUAGUAUUAUAAUUCACAAUAGAAGUUUGCCUCAUGCUGUAGGCAGUUAAAAUGUAUUUUCAGCUGUAGCCAUGAAUUCAUCAGCCUAUUGGGGUUUCAUCUUGUACAGUGUGAAGUUUACAAGAGAGUAGAGCAUUUAACGAUGUGCAAAACAGCAUCCAUUCAAGCAGGCAGCAGUAUGAAUAUUGCUGUUUGGCAUAAAGAAAAUUACACAUGUUCAAAAAUGAAACUGUCCAUUGAAUAUACACAGAAAGUCAACAUUGUCAAUACGAAAGCUGGUUCACACUGAAACAGACACCAACAAGCUAAUAAUCCAAGAUGAUGCCAUUGAUUUAGAAGUGCAGUUGUUGAGCUGAUAUGUGCUAGUAGAAGGAUCUUUCUGUGGAAAAUCCCUGCAUUAUAAGAUUUGUAACCAAUAAAGCUUCUGACUGCUCUUGACUUUAGACAGAACUUUGAAUCUACAGGGGUGAUCCACAUACAGAAAUGCAAUUCCAUGUAUAAAUAGUCUCUGUCAUGGGUUCAAUAGAGUGCUGCAAGAAUACAAAAUCCUUCCAUCCAGAAGCUAUUCAGAGGAACUGUAACCCAGAGAUCUGCUUAAUACUAGUUUAAUGCUAGUUUAACAGGGGGGAAGUGGAUCUACAGAUGGGAUGGAAAGAUUUAAAAAUGCAAUGCAGAAACCCAUACAUUACCAUGACUAUCAUUGUAUUUUAAAACAUUCAAAACAGAUAAUGGUCCCUCCCUCCUAACAAAAGAUGCUCGUAAAAAUGUAAUGACCCAUUUUAAAUUGUGUUUUAAUUUAUUUAGUAAAAGAUUAGGAAUCAAAACCAGAGUAUUGGCUUUAAAUAAUGGUAAAACCCACAAGGAAUAAAGUCUUCUCUGCAGACUAUGAUUCAGUAAUAUCUUUUAUUUCAGAAAAUAUGAGAUCUUUACCAAAACAUAUUUCUUAAAAGGGAUAAUUAGGUACAUUUUAGUUAACUAAUUUUUAUUUCUUGUGAUUAUUCCCUUGAAAAUAAUUUAUUGUGGCAUCUGUUUUUUUAUAGUGCCUACUGUUAAAAGACAAAAUCUUUUGUUACACAGAUCGUUGUUUUCUGCCUUGAAAGUGUUUCUUUUAAAGGAAAAGGGACAUCUGGGGUUAGGUCUGUUUCAGCUGUCUAAUGCAUCAGUAAACGUCAAUUUGCUAACAUUUGCACAAGUUAUUCUAUGUAGACAAUUUACUUUUUGUUUAAGACUGGCAUUAUAAACAUCCAUAACUAUGGAUAUGCUGUAAAUUAUUGUAGGUUUUGUGUAAGAAAACCUUUCACCACAUUACUACUGUCAAUUCUUGGUUUUUGAUUGUAUAGCCAUAUGUCUUAUAUACCUGUUCUGUCAUCAAAACCUCCCUUUCCUAUAUUGUUAAACAUUUAUUAAGCAUGCUUAGUAGUUUCUCAUUUUAUUUCAUAUAGCCCAUGCAGCAAUCACUGACAACAUAAAAUUCUAAUGUAAUAGUACAACCAGUCCACUUCAUGUAAGUUAUAGGAGUAGCUUGCAGACUCUAGUGCAAUUCAACUGCAUUGUAGCUUAUUUCAGUGCAAUCUUCUGCCUGCUUACUCAGAAGUAAGUUUCACAGAGUUCAGUGAGACAUACUGUACUCCCAAGUAAAUGUGUACAGGAUUGCAGCCUACAAUAUGUUUGUUUGGGGCAUGUAUGAAUCUAGUGGAAAACUAGCUAUUGAAGUUAAGGUAUAGAGACUGGUAGACCUAGAAUUUAGACUGUCAGGUGAAAAAAUCCACACAAACAGCUUUCAGGGAGACAAUCCAUUUAGAAUUUUAAUAGCAGUAUCAAAAAAAGAAGUCCCAUAUUUUUCAAAGCCCCUUCCAGAUCAUCUAGAAAACCUAGCAAGUUUAUUCUUGCGGCUUCUGUGUAGCCCUGUAUACAGGAUCUAAAUGUGCUUAAAUAAAACAUCAAAAAGCAAUACUGAAAUAGAAUGCAGUAUAGCAAACCUUGUCAAAAUGCUAUAAAAUGACAAUUAAAUUAAAUUCAGGUAGGUAGCCAUGUUGGUCUGACGCAGUCAAAAUAUAUAAAAAAAUUAAAAAAUUGUCCAGUAGCACCUUAGAGACCAACUAAGUUUGUUCUUGGCACAUGAAAGCUUAAGGUGCUGCUGGACAAUUUUUUUAUUUUUAAAAUUAAAUUAAAAUGUAACAUGCUUCAGGCAUAAUUGACCUAAUCCAACAGUAUUUAAUCCUAAAUACUGACACAUAGUAAAUAUGAGCACUCUCUUCCACCUUGGUGUUUCUCAUAAUACAAAACUUCCCAAAAUUAGUCUCCUAGAUAUCUGUGUUUGGAAGGCCGUUCUAAAAUACGGGUUCAGCAUCAACAUCAUACUUUCUCCCCAACCCAGCUUCUUAAUGAGAGUAUCUAAGAGUAACCUCUUAAGUAAUUAAGGAAGCAGGGCAAUCUGUUGUUAUCAGAAAUUCUGCAGCUAUGCGUAUGCCUAUCAAGGUGCUGUUCUUUACUUGCUGUGCAAAUCAGUUUUUAAUUAUCAAGUAAUAUUUCAAGGACUUAAAAUAGUAGAUACAUUAGAAAGCACACACACUCAUCAACAGCAGCAUCCUUUGGUUUAAAACUGAGAGACCUGGAUCACUGUUUGAUAGACCUCUAGAAUCAAUGAGGGUCUAAUUUUGUGCACCAGAUAGCCAAGCACAAAUGGAUUCCACUGACUUGAUAAAUAAUCAAAGUCAGCCAGAGUCCCUUUGUAGUAAGCUAUCAUGUAUGUUGGUUGAGUGUUGUGUUGUACGGAUACCAAAACAUAAUUUUAUCCAGAUUAUUUGACGAUACACUCCUAAACCCAUUUGUAUACCAGUGGGGUUUCAUUAAAUUAAGACUAUGUUGGGUUGAAAUUCUACUGUACUGUACAUUUGAAUAAUUUAUAUAGUAAACAUUCACUGCAUUAACAUAGCAAAUAUUAUACUAUUUACUAAUCUUUGUGAAUCUUAACUGCGUAAAAACAUUUUAACAAAAAAGCUUAGACAAUGCAUUACUUACAAUACGUAGAAUUUAUAUCCUGAUUCUAAAGAACCUUUAUUUAACUGUCUUAUGACUUAAGUAGAAUGUGCUUCCAAAUACAGAUGUUUUUGACAAUGCUGACUCUUAUAUUAGUGCUUACUAUGGUUUAGUAAAUUGAAAAUAUUCUGUUUACAUAUUCAUCUCCAUUAAGCAAUUUAUGUCUGUCUGAGAUUUAUUUCCCCCCUAGAUAUUAUGAUAUUAUGGGGCACAAAUUUGAACACCCUAAAGCCGCUAAAGUGAGCUUGAUGGAUAGCCAUUCUAAAAUACCAUUGAUACCCUCACUUCAGUUUAACCUCAUGUUUCACAUAUAAAGUAGCUAUAGGAAGAUGAUAGAUGUGCACUGAUCUUGCCACCUUCAUUCUACCAUAUGAACUGCACCACUGUUGACCAUAUUUCUUACUGUUAACCUACCUGGCGACUUACUUAGACACGGGGGCCUGGUACUUAGGGAUCACUGCUACUACUUCACAUAUUCACAUGUUAAAGUGAAAACUUUGAACCAUGGAGGAGGAGUUUCACUUACUCCAGGCCAUCUGUUUCUCCACAGCAUGGAAAUCACCAUGCCCGCUGCAAAUGCUAGGCUGAUAAUGUUAGUUGGGGCCAAGGAGUAGCAAAGGUUCUAAACUUGCCCCAUGCUUCUGAUAUAUGCCUUGUACUUCGGCACCAGCUAUCUCAAAUCUUGAAUUUCUUUUACUCAUAGAUAGUUCCUUUUUGGGAGAGUAGCAAGUUGCAAUUUGGAGAAUUUACCAUAGUAAUACCGGAAUACAUUUUAGCAACACCAAAGCCCUAUUAUGACCUUUUAACUCAAGAAUAACAACUCUUUCAGAAAACACACACGAGAUUUCAUUAAGUGCUUUACUAUCCAACGAGAGAGAGUAGUAAUAGUUUGCUCAGCGGUGCAAAUGUUGUGAAUAAGUUAUCUAGCAUCUAUUUGUUUUUAUGAUACUUUUCAGUGCACCUAUACAUUUUUUAUAAUUGGUUUAGGGGAGUUUGGGACAGCUAAUGUAACUGUACCCAACAUUAUUUACAAUUUACACUGUUUACCUUUCAUUGUCUUCCCUUCCUGUGUCUCUUAGUGUAUGUUGAUAACCAAAACAAUGGAUUUUUAGUAGUAGUUCCCUGCUUUCUUUUCUUCAAAAAACUUUAUUGACUAUGGGUACAGCUGACAUCUCAUUCUAUAUCCCAUCAUGGGUAGCCGAUUCCCUUUUUAAAGUGCCAUAAGAUUAUAAAGUACACACACACACACAAAAACACAGGCCUAAUUUUCCUAGUAAUUUUUGUCCAAGUGACCUCAUGUACAGAAUAGGAAACAUUAUUCAGAAUGCAAUGUAUUCAUAUACACAUUCUGGUUCAUGCAUUAGUGUCAACUGUUAGAAAGCUUCCUUCCUUAUCACGCUUUAUCAGCACAUUGUAUGUAUUUUCCACUAUGAAAGACAGGUAGUGUUUCACUGACUUUAAUGGAAAACACUGUGUAUGCUUGGCACUUCGACAGAAUUCCAAGAUGGAAAUAUCAUACUGUGUAGAUGCAUCUUAUCAAAGUUUCAUCUGAUAUUUUAUGAAACCUGAAUCCCAGUGGAAUCUACACACUUGGAUUUUGGUAAACCAAACAGCAGCUAGCCUGAAAAGUAACAGGUGGAGAAAACUAUAACAAAUACUUUUUUAAAUGAGAUUGGUUGGGGUAUUUCGGCCAUUUAACAAUUUUAGCAUAUUCAAUAUUUUAUUGCAGUUCGUUGAACGUGAACUUUCUACAAAGUGACCUGCACUUUGUGCAAAGCAACCAAACGAGUGAAUAGCCUACUUUGCACCUGCCCACCUAAUUGUCUGAAAUGUCAUUCAAGCCAUAAAUUCCUUUGAGAUAUUUUGUGUUUGUGCAAUCAAGGCAGUUGGGUUUGACGCCUUAGGUGUAAAGAUGGCUCUCCAUAUACAGUUUGUGUGUAUGAGUGCUUGGGUGCACAUAUACGCAGAUAACAGUAAGUCUGGUGUCUUUUUUGAAGCGAGGUAUCUCUUUGAAUUCCACCUACUGUGCUCUAGAAACUAGACACUUUUUAAAUAAAAAAAAACACAAACAUUUUCUUUGAAAAUAAGUGAUACAAAUACCUUGCUUAGUAGAUUUGAUAUCAAAACUGAAGACCAAGAACUGAACAGGCAGGACUGUUUUGGCAUCAAAUCUUUUUAAACUGUUCAAAAAUUUUAUUUAGUGGAAGUAUAAUUUAGAAUUAAGUGGAAUGUCAGAACAAACUGGGGAGUUUUAGAAAUAAAUCACUCAGCAAUCAUUUUAUAAAGUUUAACUUCUAAAUGCACUAUGAUUUAUUACAAAAAUAUAUUUUCUUCUGCUUGCAGAUAUGGUUGUUCCAUUUUGUGAUAGUUUUAAACUAAAGCAGUUAAUUUUGUUGCACUGUGUAACUGCAUGAAUUCAUCAAGUGUACAUAUGUACCUGUGCAACAUUUUUUGGGGUUUUGUAUUUGAAUUUCAGUAUUGGUUAUUUUUGUAUUUUACUUUACCUGUAUUGGAGUUGUAGUAGACAUAAUUUAUACAUAUGAUUUAAAAACUGUUUUGCAACUGAAAAGUCUUCUUUAAAUUGUAAAAUUUUGUUGAUGGAAACUCAUUAAAAUGGUAUAAAAUUAUAUUAACAAUUGUUUUGUGUUUUGAUGCUCUCUGUACAUAAAUAUGUAUUUAUCUGUUUUAAUGGUGUUGUGUCUUGCAAUUUUGGAUACAUUUUAGAAUAAAGUUUCAUUUUAC